GGAGAACGUCAGAAUUUAAACAGUGCUUUUGAGUAUGCUCUAGACUACAAGAAUGUCAAGGCUAAAAGGACAAUAAAUAUGACACUGCGGGUGCGUUUGGUUCGCGCUAUCUUUUAAAGAUUUCUAGUAAUCCAAUGGGAAUAAAAAAAUAUGACGGUGUUUGGCUAAACGCACUAAGUAAUCUAGUUGGUAAUAUCGGAUUCACUUGGGAAUAAGAUUCACUCCAAAAUACUAAUCUCAUUCCCUUGAGGGAGGUGGGUAUUCUUAUAUUAAUGGAUUGGGUAAUCAUAAUAUAUCUAAUCCUUUUUUUCCUUCCUACCCGCCGGCUAAUUGAUAUUAUUUUUUUUUACACUCUAACCUUAUAUCUCUCUCUAAACUUAUUUUUUUCUCUCUAAAAUUCAACUUUUUUUUCUCUCUCUAAACUAAGCUUUCUCUCUCUCUCUCUUUCUAAAAUUUCAACUCUCUCACUCCUUCUAAUUUCAACUAUAUUUUUCUUUCUAUUUUUUUAAUUAUACUUUCUCUCUCUAACUUAUACUCUCUCUCCUUUUUUUCUAAAAUGAUGUUGAAACUUUUGAUAACAUUAUCUAAAAUUAAAUAAAUAAAUAAAUAAAUAAAUUGUAUAUUUUUUGUAAUAUUAAAUAACAUGGCUAAUUAAUAUUACCGUGUGAACCAAACACAGGAAUUCUACAUUCUUAGUAAUAGGAUGAAUAGGAAUAAGAUUCUCGGAUAUCUUUUAUUCCUAGUAAUCUUUUAUAAUGCGAACCAAACGUACCCUGCAAGUUAUCUAAUUUUUUAAGAGCUUACAGACUAAUUUACAUCGGACUUAAAAAAUUUACGGAGGAAAAUAA
RNAcentral lists this long non-coding RNA (848 nucleotides) under Ananas comosus (pineapple). RNAcentral describes it as "long non-coding RNA (ACOM_LNC010401)". Lineage: Eukaryota; Viridiplantae; Streptophyta; Magnoliopsida; Poales; Bromeliaceae. The record is from RNAcentral.